GAUGAACGCUGGCGGCGUGCCUAAUACAUGCAAGUCGAGCGAACAGACGAGGAGCUUGCUCCUCUGACGUUAGCGGCGGACGGGUGAGUAACACGUGGAUAACCUACCUAUAAGACUGGGAUAACUUCGGGAAACCGGAGCUAAUACCGGAUAAUAUAUUGAACCGCAUGGUUCAAUAGUGAAAGACGGUUUUGCUGUCACUUAUAGAUGGAUCCGCGCCGCAUUAGCUAGUUGGUAAGGUAACGGCUUACCAAGGCGACGAUGCGUAGCCGACCUGAGAGGGUGAUCGGCCACACUGGAACUGAGACACGGUCCAGACUCCUACGGGAGGCAGCAGUAUGGAAUCCUCCGCAAUGGGCGAAAGCCUGACGGAGCAACGCCGCGUGAGUGAUGAAGGUCUUCGGAUCGUAAAACUCUGUUAUUAGGGAAGAACAAAUGUGUAAGUAACUAUGCACGUCUUGACGGUACCUAAUCAGAAAGCCACGGCUAACUACGUG
RNAcentral lists this ribosomal RNA (497 nucleotides) under uncultured bacterium. Its description in RNAcentral is "partial 16S ribosomal RNA". It matches the Rfam family "Bacterial small subunit ribosomal RNA", at positions 28 to 507 of the family's 1533-position model. The record is from RNAcentral.